RNAcentral lists this ribosomal RNA (253 nucleotides) under uncultured bacterium. RNAcentral's name for it is "partial 16S ribosomal RNA". It matches the Rfam family "Bacterial small subunit ribosomal RNA", at positions 524 to 776 of the family's 1533-position model. The record is from RNAcentral.
UACAGAGGUCUCGAGCGUUAGGCGGAAUCACUGGGCUUAAAGCGUGUGUAGGCGGAUCGGUAAGUACCUUGUGAAAUCCCACAGCUUAACUGUGGAACUGCUUGGUAUACUGCCAGUCUUGAGCCAGCUAGGGGCUACCGGAACAAAUGGUGGAGCGGUGAAAUGCGUAGAUAUCGGGAGGAACACCAGUGGCGAAGGCGGCGACCUGGGCCAAUACUGACGCUGAGGCACGAAAGCCAGGGGAGCAAACGGG